GACGAACGCUGGCGGCGGGCUUAACACAUGCAAGUCGAACGGAAAGGCCCUGCUUGUGUGGGGUGCUCGAGUGGCGAACGGGUGAGUAACACGUGAGUAACCUGCCCUUGACUGUGGGAUAACUUCAGGAAACUGCGGCUAAUACCGGAUAGGAGCUCCUGCUGCAUGGUGGGGGUUGGAAAGUUUCGGCGGUGGGGGAUGGACGCGCGGCUUAUCAGCUUGUGGGUGGGGGAGUGGCUUACGAAGGCUUUGACGGGUAGCCGGCAUGAGAGGGUGAACGGCCACCUUGGGACUGAGAUACGGACCAGACUGCUAUGGGAGGCAGUAGUGGGGAAUCUUGCCCAAUGGGCGGAAGCCUGAUGCAGCAACGCCGGGUGUGGGAUGACGGCCUUCGGGUUGUAAACCGCUUUCGCCUGUGACGAAGCGUGAGUGACGGUAAUGGGUAAAGAAGCACCGGCUAACUACGUG
RNAcentral lists this ribosomal RNA (468 nucleotides) under uncultured bacterium. RNAcentral describes it as "partial 16S ribosomal RNA". It matches the Rfam family "Bacterial small subunit ribosomal RNA", at positions 28 to 507 of the family's 1533-position model. The record is from RNAcentral.